UGGAUCGAUGAUGACUGCUGGUGGCGUAUGAGGGAUGUUAUGAAUACGUGUCUGGAACUCUGAGGUCCUU
Small nucleolar RNA from Sciurus vulgaris (Eurasian red squirrel), 70 nucleotides. Lineage: Eukaryota; Metazoa; Chordata; Mammalia; Rodentia; Sciuridae. The record is from Ensembl.